CCCUUAGAUGUCCUGGGCCGCACGCGCGCUACACUGACAUGUUCAACAAGCCUCCUAGUUCGACAGGAUUUGGGAAAUCUUUGAACGCAUGUCGUGAUAGGGAUAGAUCAUUGCAAUUAUUGAUCUUGAACGAGGAAUACCUUGUAAGCGCGGGUCAUCAUCCCGCGCUGAAUACGUCCCUGCCCUUUGUACACACCGCCCGUCGCUCCUACCGAUUGAGUGGUCCGGUGAGGCUUUGGGAUCUGAGCGGAAAGAGCGUUUCGCUGUUUCUGCUCGGAAAACUCAGUCGAACCUUAUCAUUUAGAGGAAGGAGAAGUCGUAACA
Molecule: ribosomal RNA, 324 nt
Filed under: uncultured eukaryote
Lineage: Eukaryota
Description: partial 18S ribosomal RNA
Rfam family: Eukaryotic small subunit ribosomal RNA
Source: RNAcentral